CCAUACAUAAUUUUUUCCUCUAAACCAAAUGAACAGAGGUUUAAUUUAUAAACAUAAAUGGGCUGAGAUUUCACAAAGUGAACCGGACAUUUUCCAGUAACUCAGGCCACUCCACACACCAGGAUAUGCCACACCAGGAUAUGCCACAAUAGCCAACUUCAAAAGUCAGCCAUUGCACAAAUUUCACCCUGUCCGAUCGAUAAAUUUAGUGGAGAUGGACAUACAUAUAAUAUAUGAUUGGAUCCUAUAUUGUACCACCAUUAAUUUUUGGUACAAAGAGGCCACAAUCACUUUUAGCCAUUUGAUGUUAAAUCCAAAAAAUAAAAGUGUGUCACUACAUCCGAGAAAUUUUAUUUUGGGCUUUGUGCUCAAACAAUAACACAUCUUCAACCACCCGAUUUCAAAUCUAACGAUCAACAACGAUUGUGACCUCUUUGUACAAAAAGUAGAUCGUCCCAAUAGGUACAUUUCCUUGUACGCUAAUGGCAAGUGGGACAAGGAAAUACUAUUAUUUCAGAGAGUUAAAAUUUACAGAUCUGAGAAAACAUAGUCAUUUAUGACACUUUGAUAUCCUAGCAUCAUAAGGGUAACAUAAACCACUAUAACAUACUUUACAUACCAAUCAGGCAUUGGCAGCUUUCUGCUCUGGCACUGUGGUAGCAUCCCCAUUCGACUUAGCCCUCUUAGCUUCAUAGUCCUUAAUAGCUGCCUUGAUCGCGNNN
Molecule: long non-coding RNA, 722 nt
Filed under: Amborella trichopoda
Lineage: Eukaryota; Viridiplantae; Streptophyta; Magnoliopsida; Amborellales; Amborellaceae
Description: long non-coding RNA (ATRI_LNC002416)
Source: RNAcentral